This 105-nucleotide small RNA is filed under the name Salmonella enterica. RNAcentral's name for it is "partial RtT sRNA". It matches the Rfam family "RtT RNA", at positions 1 to 103 of the family's 130-position model. From Rfam's summary of the family: This family represents a bacterial cis-regulatory element known as RtT RNA. The exact function of RtT is unknown although it is thought that it may be involved in changing the cellular response in relation to amino acid starvation. RNAcentral also lists the same sequence under 2 other names. The record is from RNAcentral. Lineage: Bacteria; Pseudomonadati; Pseudomonadota; Gammaproteobacteria; Enterobacterales; Enterobacteriaceae.
GUUUGCACUUGUCGGGGAAGGGUGAGAACCUUCGAUUAAGGUUCGACUCGAGCGAAAGCGAGAGAACGUUGCCAACGGCAACGGCCCGUAGGGUGAGGAGCGAAG